CCUACGGGUGGCAGCAGUGAGGAAUAUUGGUCAAUGGGCUUACGCCUGAACCAGCCAAGUCGCGUGAGGGAAGACUGCCCUAUGGGUUGUAAACCUCUUUUGUCAGGGAGCAAAUGGCGCUACGUGUAGCGUAAUCGAGAGUACCUGAAGAAAAAGCACCGGCUAACUCCGUGCCAGCAGCCGCGGUAAUACGGAGGGUGCGAGCGUUAAUCGGAAUUACUGGGCGUAAAGCGCUCGUAGGCGGUAUGUCAAGUCGAGGGUGAAAUCCCCGCGCUCAACGUGGGAACUGCCUUUGAAACUGGGAAACUGGAGUGUGUGAGAGGGUAGUGGAAUUCCAGGUGUAGGAGUGAAAUCCGUAGAUAUCUGGAGGAACAUCAGUGGCGAAGGCGACUAUCUGGCACAUAACUGACGCUGAGGAGCGAAAGCGUGGGUAGCGAACGGGAUUAGAUACCCGAGUAGUC
This 461-nucleotide ribosomal RNA is filed under the name uncultured bacterium. RNAcentral describes it as "partial 16S ribosomal RNA". It matches the Rfam family "Bacterial small subunit ribosomal RNA", at positions 338 to 795 of the family's 1533-position model. The record is from RNAcentral.